AGAGUUUGAUCCUGGCUCAGGAUGAACGCUAGCUACAGGCUUAACACAUGCAAGUCGAGGGGCAGCAUGUUGGUUGCUUGCAACCAAUGAUGGCGACCGGCGCACGGGUGAGUAACGCGUAUCCAACCUACCCUUGUCCAUCGGAUAACCCGUCGAAAGGCGGCCUAACACGAUAUGCGGUUCUCAGCAGGCAUCUAACGAGAACGAAAUGUGAAGGAGAAGGAUGGGGAUGCGUCUGAUUAGCUUGUUGGCGGGGUAACGGCCACCAAGGCGACGAUCAGUAGGGGUUCUGAGAGGAAGGUCCCCCANAUUGGAACUGAGACACGGUCCAAACUCCUAACGGGAGCA
Molecule: ribosomal RNA, 348 nt
Filed under: uncultured bacterium
Lineage: Bacteria
Description: bacterial SSU rRNA
Rfam family: Bacterial small subunit ribosomal RNA
Source: RNAcentral